CCUACGGGAGGCAGCAGUGAGGAAUAUUGCACAAUGGGGGAAACCCUGAUGCAGCGACGCCGCGUGAGGGAAGAAGGAAUUCGGGAUGUAAAGCUCUAUCAGCAGGGAAGAAAAUGACGGGACCUGAGUAAGAAGGCCCGGCUAACUACGUGCCAGCAGCCGCGGUAAUACGUAGGGGGCAAGCGUUAUACGGAUUUUCUGGGUGGAAAGGGAGCGGAGACGGGAGUGCAAGUCUGGAGUGAAAGGCGGGGGCUCAACCCCCGUACUGGUCUGGAAACUGUACGGCUGGAGUGCAGGAGAGGUAAGUGGAAGUCCUAGUGUAGCGGUGAAAUGCGUAGAUAUUAGGAGGAACACCAGUGGCGAAGGCGGCUUACUGGACUGUAACUGACGUUGAGGCACGAAAGCGUGGGGAGCAAACAGGAUUAGAUACCCGAGUAGUC
RNAcentral lists this ribosomal RNA (440 nucleotides) under uncultured bacterium. RNAcentral describes it as "partial 16S ribosomal RNA". It matches the Rfam family "Bacterial small subunit ribosomal RNA", at positions 338 to 795 of the family's 1533-position model. The record is from RNAcentral.